UACGUAGGGGGCGAGCGUUGUCCGGAAUUACUGGGCGUAAAGGGCAAGCAGGCGGGAAGGCAAGUCUUGUGUGAAAGACCUUGGCUCAACUAAGGGACCGCAUGGGAUACUGCCUUUCUUGAGGGGAUGAGAAGUGAGCGGAACUGCCGGUGUAGCGGUGAAAUGCGUAGAUAUCGGUAGGAACACCCGUGGCGAAAGCGGCUCACUAGCAUCUUUCUGACGCUCAAUUGCGAAAGCGUGGGGAGCAAAC
RNAcentral lists this ribosomal RNA (250 nucleotides) under uncultured archaeon. Its description in RNAcentral is "partial 16S ribosomal RNA". It matches the Rfam family "Bacterial small subunit ribosomal RNA", at positions 524 to 773 of the family's 1533-position model. The record is from RNAcentral.